AGGCUUGUAGCUCAGGUGGUUAGAGCGCACCCCUGAUAAGGGUGAGGUCGGUGGUUCAAUACCACACAGGCCUACCA
RNAcentral lists this transfer RNA (77 nucleotides) under Dickeya lacustris. RNAcentral's name for it is "tRNA-Ile". It matches the Rfam family "tRNA". From Rfam's summary of the family: Transfer RNA (tRNA) molecules are approximately 80 nucleotides in length. Their secondary structure includes four short double-helical elements and three loops (D, anti-codon, and T loops). Further hydrogen bonds mediate the characteristic L-shaped molecular structure. tRNAs have two regions of fundamental functional importance: the anti-codon, which is responsible for specific mRNA codon recognition, and the 3' end, to which the tRNAs corresponding amino acid is attached (by aminoacyl-tRNA synthetases). tRNAs cope with the degeneracy of the genetic code in two manners: having more than one tRNA (with a specific anti-codon) for a particular amino acid; and 'wobble' base-pairing, i.e. permitting non-standard base-pairing at the 3rd anti-codon position. The record is from RNAcentral. Lineage: Bacteria; Pseudomonadati; Pseudomonadota; Gammaproteobacteria; Enterobacterales; Pectobacteriaceae.